RNAcentral lists this long non-coding RNA (255 nucleotides) under Capsella rubella. Its description in RNAcentral is "long non-coding RNA (CRUB_LNC000749)". The record is from RNAcentral. Lineage: Eukaryota; Viridiplantae; Streptophyta; Magnoliopsida; Brassicales; Brassicaceae.
UUAAAUCCUUGUAAAUGCUUUUAAAACACUUGUAAAUCCUUUUAAAAAUUUUUGUAAAUUUUUAAAUGAUUGAAUCACUUUCCAAUGAUUGAAUGUAUUAAAUAUAUUCUAUUAUAUUUACAUUUAAAACAAAAUUAUAAAAAUCAACUUUCCAUGAAUAUUUAUGUUUUACAAAUGUACGGAAGUAUAUAAUAACGAAUAUACUGAUAUUCAGAUUAUUGUCUUGAUCAUAACUAUGUAAUUAAAAAAAAUGAC